This 308-nucleotide ribosomal RNA is filed under the name uncultured eukaryote. RNAcentral describes it as "partial 18S ribosomal RNA". It matches the Rfam family "Eukaryotic small subunit ribosomal RNA", at positions 1470 to 1796 of the family's 1831-position model. The record is from RNAcentral.
CCCUUAGAUGUCCUGGGCCGCACGCGCGCUACACUGACGAAGGCAACGAGCUUUCCUUUACCGAAAGGUACGGGUAAUCUUUUGAAACUUCGUCGUGCUGGGGAUAGAUCCUUGCAAUUUUUGAUCUUAAACGAGGAAUUCCCAGUAAGCGCAAGUCAUCAACUUGCGUUGAUUACGUCCCUGCCCUUUGUACACACCGCCCGUCGCUACUACCGAUUGAAUGGUUUAGUGAGGCCUUCGGAUCCGCGACUCGUUUUGUGGAGAAGUCGGACAAACUCAGUCAUUUAGAGGAAGUAAAAGUCGUAACA